UGUCCGUGACGUCACCCAUAGGUUUCUGAAGAGCGCAAAUGAAGCUUACUGUAGGCGUGGUCAGCCGUCGCCAUCUUGGAAGUGCGUCAUUCCCGGAUACUCGAAAAUGGGCAGAGGCGGAUCUUAGGCGGAGUUAAGAUGACUGUUUGCUGAAACCAUAGAGACCAUUCCACCACCCGCGACAUUUGAAUCAUUUGAACAUCUCAGCGUACUAUCGAGUUAUUGAUUGCUGCUUACAUCAUGGCCUCCUCUGAAACAUCCUCAUCCACGUCUGUUAGGUCACAAAAAUUAAACUACACAGUGUGGAUCAUUGGUGACAGUUAUGUCCGACGAGGUGCCCAGAGAGCGCAGGAGACUGUGGGCAACAACCUUGGGCUGCCUGGGGCCCAUAUCUCUUGGUUUGGCUGGGGCGGUUUAAGGUGGAAACGACUUCCAAAAUACUUCCAGGACUUGAUUAAAGGAAGAGUCGUACCAGAUGUCCUUGUCCUUCAUUGUGGAGGAAAUGAUAUUGGGGAGGUCACCAGCGUCCUGUUGGUGAACUCAAUGAAAGAGGACUUGCUCCAGAUGAAGCUCCAGCACCCUGAUAUGAAAAUUUUGUUUUCAUCUUUAACACAGAGGUGCUGGUGGAAGGCUGGUGCUAAGCCAGCUAAACUUGACAAGGCCCGGAAAUUUGUUAACAGUGUUAUGGCUACAUUUGUUGAUAGCCUAAAUGGUGCCAUGAUUAUGCACCCUCACAUUAGACAUGACAGUCCUGGGCUAUUCCUAAAAGAUGGAGUUCAUUUCACACCUAUGGGAAAUGAUAUUUUUUUAAGCAGUAUUGCCAACUGCCUUAAAGACCACAUUCAAAUGCAGUGAACAGCCAAUAGUGUCACUGCUUUUGAAUUUGGGCUUUAGGGCCCAUUUGAUUUAAAUAGCCUUGACCAUUAUGGCUAAUGUAGAGUUUUUUUUAAUGUUUAUUCUUAAGUGCCAUUUGUAGGCAUAACACUGUUAACCUCUGCUUUUCAUAUUGUUUAUUUUUUUAUUUUAUUAUUAUUAUUAUUACUUUUAAUCAUUCACAAAUUAUUGAAAUAUUGUUAGUUUUAUAAAUAAAUUCAUUUCAUUCUUGAAUGACAACGAGUUCUUCAAUUCAGUAUCUGGG
Molecule: long non-coding RNA, 1138 nt
Filed under: Danio rerio (zebrafish)
Lineage: Eukaryota; Metazoa; Chordata; Actinopteri; Cypriniformes; Danionidae
Description: lncRNA (ENSDARG00000117714.1)
Source: RNAcentral